This is a non-coding RNA of Pangasianodon gigas (Mekong giant catfish), 72 nucleotides long. The record is from the annotation of a GenBank genome assembly. Lineage: Eukaryota; Metazoa; Chordata; Actinopteri; Siluriformes; Pangasiidae.
UCCCUGGAGGACUAGUGGUUAGGCCUCAGCACUCUUACCGUUGCGGCCAGGGUUUGAUUCCCUGCCAGGGAA